CACGUAGGGGUAAGCGUUGUUCGGAAUUACUGGGCGUAAAGGGCUCGUAGGCGGCCAACUAAGUCAUACGUGAAAUCCCUCAGCUUAACUGGGGAACUGCGUGUGAUACUGGAUGGCUUGGAUUUGGGAGAGGGAUGCGGAAUUCCAGGUGUAGCGGUGAAAUGCGUAGAUAUCUGGAGGAACACCGGUGGCGAAGGCGGCAUCCUGGACCAAUAUUGACGCUGAGGAGCGAAAGCCAGGGGAGCAAACGGG
Molecule: ribosomal RNA, 252 nt
Filed under: uncultured bacterium
Lineage: Bacteria
Description: partial 16S ribosomal RNA
Rfam family: Bacterial small subunit ribosomal RNA
Source: RNAcentral